This 251-nucleotide long non-coding RNA is filed under the name Elaeis guineensis (African oil palm). RNAcentral describes it as "long non-coding RNA (EGUI_LNC076462)". Lineage: Eukaryota; Viridiplantae; Streptophyta; Magnoliopsida; Arecales; Arecaceae. The record is from RNAcentral.
GUUCGAUCGAAGUCUGGUUCUUGUAGAAGGUUGAAAGGAAACCGCUUAUCAUCAAAGCUCGAUCGAAGAUCGGUUACCGUGAGAGCUAGGAGUAGCGACCUGGCUGGUGGGUCCCAUCCCAUUAUAGAGGCUCGAUCAAAGAUCGGUUGUCAUGGGAGCUCGGAGUAGCGACCUAGCCGAUGGGUCCCGUCCCAUUGUAGAAGCUCGAUCGAAGAUCGGUUGUCAUGGGAGCUCAGAGUAGCGACCUGGCC